RNAcentral lists this long non-coding RNA (1109 nucleotides) under Papio anubis (olive baboon). RNAcentral describes it as "lncRNA (ENSPANG00000043405.1)". The record is from RNAcentral. Lineage: Eukaryota; Metazoa; Chordata; Mammalia; Primates; Cercopithecidae.
CAGCCUGCUGCUUCCCUGCAACUCUCUGGUUGCCAAAUCUUGGCAGCCGUGUUGAACUUGAGCCAAGCGUUUAGUCCUCAGCUGAACUGCUGCCAGCCUGCGCACGGCAUUCUGGGGCGAGAGCCGGAGGGGCUGCACUGCACCCAGCUUGCACAGGGCGAGGCGGGGGCAGGACCUGGGACCCAGCCACCCUGGAGGAAACCGGAGAGGAAACCAGCUCGGUCUUGCUCUCUGCUUGGUCCCAAUCCCCAGCUCUUACCAAAUGCAGAUCCCUUGGCUAAAUGCCUUUUAGUCUGCAUGCAUGCAUCUCAUACCACACAGCCCAAAUUUCUACAACUUCGUCCAGGUGCAGUCUCCUCAGAACUACAAAGCAAGAAAAGAUCACCUUUGGGCUCAGGAACUCACAGUUGUUCUCCCUCUCCCGGAAGGCACAAUGACCAGGACAGUACCGAGCUUUGCAGCCAUAUUAAACUCACCUCCAGCUCAGCACAUUCCGCUCAAUCACUCAAAAUCGUCCUUUCCUGCUGGUAAAUAACACUGAAAUACAAGGAAGCUGAACCUUCACAAGGUUGAACAACACAUUUGGUGCCACGCAGCUGAGAAGUGCUUCAAACUGGAUUUGAACAACUGUAGUCAGACUCUGCAGCCUGUGUGUGUACCCACUGUGCUAUGUUGCUGCAUUGAAUAAAAUGUAGCGCCCUCAAUACGGAGUCAGUGUGAGCACAUACGAAGAAUGAUAUUGGGAAGGACAAGUCCUCAGUAGGCAAAACACUUUCCAGCAGUGUUAACUUAGAUGUGGAUAGAAAGGAGACUUGGGAAUUUCUCUGACUUAAUUUAUCUCUGGGUGCAUUUGAAGCAGAGCAGAAGAGAGGGGGAAGAGGUGCUAGGAGUGGUGGGCUCUGAGGUUCAAGUCCCACCAAUGGCCAGGCCUAAUAAAGAUCUAGAUAUCCUUGCAGACUGAGGCUUUCUCCAAAACCCUUCAGCUGUGGUUUUGUGGAACAGGCCUCACUACAUCUAGCUAAUUUUGUUCAUUCAUUCAUUCAUUCUUUCAUUCAUUCACUCCUUUAUUCAACCAGACUUCAUAAACGCCUUUCCAUGUCAGGCCCUGG